CCUACGGGAGGCAGCAGUGAGGAAUAGUGGUCAAUGGACGAGAGUCUGAACCAGCCAAGUAGCGUGAAGGAUGACUGCCCUAUGGGUUGUAAACUUCUGUUAUAAAGGAAUAAAACGAGGCACGUGUGCCUUUUUGCAUGGACUUUAUGAAUAAGGAUCGGCUAACUCCGUGCCAGCAGCCGCGGUAAUACGGAGGAUCCGAGCGUUAUCCGGAUUUAUGGGGUUUAAAGGGAGCGUAGAUGGGUUGUUAAGUCAGUUGUGAAAGUUUGCGGCUCAACCGUAAAAUUGCAAUUGAUACUGGCAGUCUUGAGUACAGUUGAGGUAGGCGUACUUCGUGGUGUAGCGGUGCCAUGCUUCGAUAUCAC
Molecule: ribosomal RNA, 365 nt
Filed under: uncultured bacterium
Lineage: Bacteria
Description: partial 16S ribosomal RNA
Rfam family: Bacterial small subunit ribosomal RNA
Source: RNAcentral